Molecule: ribosomal RNA, 591 nt
Filed under: uncultured bacterium
Lineage: Bacteria
Description: bacterial SSU rRNA
Rfam family: Bacterial small subunit ribosomal RNA
Source: RNAcentral
AAUUAACCCUUCGAAAGCCCGAGGCAAACAUGCCGCGUGUAUGAAGAAGGCCUUCGGGUUGUAAAGUACUUUCAGUUGUGAGGAAGGGCGUGUAGUUAAUAGCUGCAUAUCUUGACGUUAGCAACAGAAGAAGCACCGGCUAACUCCGUGCCAGCAGCCGCGGUAAUACGGAGGGUGCGAGCGUUAAUCGGAAUUACUGGGCGUAAAGCGCAUGCAGGUGGUUCAUUAAGUCAGAUGUGAAAGCCCGGGGCUCAACCUCGGAACUGCAUUUGAAACUGGUGAACUAGAGUGCUGUAGAGGGGGGUAGAAUUUCAGGUGUAGCGGUGAAAUGCGUAGAGAUCUGAAGGAAUACCAGUGGCGAAGGCGGCCCCCUGGACAGACACUGACACUCAGAUGCGAAAGCGUGGGGAGCAAACAGGAUUAGAUACCCUGGUAGUCCACGCCCGUAAAACCUGUGUCCUACUUGGAUGUGGGCUUGAGCCGUGGCUUUCGGAGCUAACGCGUUAAGUAGACCGCCUGGGGAGUACGGUCGCGAGAUUAAAACUCAAAUGAAUUGACGGGGGCCCGCACAAGCGGUGGAGCAUGUGUUUU